Molecule: ribosomal RNA, 1499 nt
Filed under: metagenome
Description: bacterial SSU rRNA
Rfam family: Bacterial small subunit ribosomal RNA
Source: RNAcentral
GCUCAGAUUGAACGCUGGCGGCAGGCCUAACACAUGCAAGUCGAACGGUAACAGGAAACAGCUUGCUGUUUCGCUGACGAGUGGCGGACGGGUGAGUAAUGUCUGGGAAACUGCCUGAUGGAGGGGGAUAACUACUGGAAACGGUAGCUAAUACCGCAUAACGUCGCAAGACCAAAGAGGGGGACCUUCGGGCCUCUUGCCAUCAGAUGUGCCCAGAUGGGAUUAGCUAGUAGGUGGGGUAACGGCUCACCUAGGCGACGAUCCCUAGCUGGUCUGAGAGGAUGACCAGCCACACUGGAACUGAGACACGGUCCAGACUCCUACGGGAGGCAGCAGUGGGGAAUAUUGCACAAUGGGCGCAAGCCUGAUGCAGCCAUGCCGCGUGUAUGAAGAAGGCCUUCGGGUUGUAAAGUACUUUCAGCGGGGAGGAAGGGAGUAAAGUUAAUACCUUUGCUCAUUGACGUUACCCACAGAAGAAGCACCGGCUAACUCCGUGCCAGCAGCCGCGGUAAUACGGAGGGUGCAAGCGUUAAUCGGAAUUACUGGGCGUAAAGCGCACGCAGGCGGUUUGUUAAGUCAGAUGUGAAAUCCCCGGGCUCAACCUGGGAACUGCAUCUGAUACUGGCAAGCUUGAGUCUCGUAGAGGGGGGUAGAAUUCCAGGUGUAGCGGUGAAAUGCGUAGAGAUCUGGAGGAAUACCGGUGGCGAAGGCGGCCCCCUGGACGAAGACUGACGCUCAGGUGCGAAAGCGUGGGGAGCAAACAGGAUUAGAUACCCUGGUAGUCCACGCCGUAAACGAUGUCGACUUGGAGGUUGUGCCCUUGAGGCGUGGCUUCCGGAGCUAACGCGUUAAGUCGACCGCCUGGGGAGUACGGCCGCAAGGUUAAAACUCAAAUGAAUUGACGGGGGCCCGCACAAGCGGUGGAGCAUGUGGUUUAAUUCGAUGCAACGCGAAGAACCUUACCUGGUCUUGACAUCCACGGAAGUUUUCAGAGAUGAGAAUGUGCCUUCGGGAACCGUGAGACAGGUGCUGCAUGGCUGUCGUCAGCUCGUGUUGUGAAAUGUUGGGUUAAGUCCCGCAACGAGCGCAACCCUUAUCCUUUGUUGCCAGCGGUCCGGCCGGGAACUCAAAGGAGACUGCCAGUGAUAAACUGGAGGAAGGUGGGGAUGACGUCAAGUCAUCAUGACCCUUACGACCAGGGCUACACACGUGCUACAAUGGCGCAUACAAAGAGAAGCGACCUCGCGAGAGCAAGCGGACCUCAUAAAGUGCGUCGUAGUCCGGAUUGGAGUCUGCAACUCGACUCCAUGAAGUCGGAAUCGCUAGUAAUCGUGGAUCAGAAUGCCACGGUGAAUACGUUCCCGGGCCUUGUACACACCGCCCGUCACACCAUGGGAGUGGGUUGCAAAAGAAGUAGGUAGCUUAACCUUCGGGAGGGCGCUUACCACUUUGUGAUUCAUGACUGGGGUGAAGUCGAAACAAGGUAACCGUAGGGGACC